GACACACCCGCUUUGCUUAGAGGCGCAGCAGAUAGAGCGGUUGUUAACGACUCUUAAAAGGGGGGAGGAACGGGGCAGCAGUAGGACAACGAACUGCAUUGCAUCGGGUGUCUGUUUGAAUUGGGACUCUGGCAAGGGCAGUGGGCUCUGGGGCGCCUGAGCAGCAGGAACCUUCAGGCAGUUUCCUCGCACAGAGCUUGAGAGAGGAAGCAAUGAAUGGGAGAAUUCAAAGGAUGGCGAUAAAUAAGACAAGAACUGAUGGAUCUACUGUUGACAGACAGGAGGAAACUGAAGUGGUGAAUGCUUUCAGAUGGAGGCCUUGGAAAGAAUUGAUAGAAACUGUCAUGAAAAAAGCAACAAAUGCUCUGGAGGACUUUGAAAACUUGGAUUCGUGCAGUGAGGAUUCAGAUUCAGGCAGUGAUGACUCAGUGUCAGAUGUUGAAGAUGGUAACAUGUCCUCUAAAGCCGCUUCUGCUGAACCAAGAAGUCCAUCUCACUAUGAAGAGGAGGACUGGGAAAAAGAAAUAGCAGAAAGUGAAAAUAAUAGCAAUCCUUAUGAACACAGGAGGUUGGUUAUGAGCAGCCUGGGCCUGCAGGAGAGUGUGGGGACAUCGGCCAUGAGGACUUCAUCAAGCUGGUGUCCAUCUAGACUGCGUACCUUGAGAUACAUCUGAUGAGCUUCCCACCCCCAAAGGCCGAUGGCUGCUAUGAACAAGAAAGGGACUGUGAAAUGGCCUAUGGGACAGGAGGGCUAAAAGCUGGGAAGUUGUUUCUUUCUUUUUUUCUUCCCAAGUUUGUCUCUUUCUUGCAAAAUGUAUAUUUAAGACACUGCUUGGCCUUUUCCUCACCUGCCAUUGUCAUGCUGGGAUUCUUUUAUUGUUAAACUUCACAGUGUUUUUCCUACUUCAGCUGGAACUGUCUUCUGGAGCUUAGCUUUCUAGGAAUAGUUUUGGUCUUCUUCUACCUCCUCUUCUAUUCAGCAGUCUUCAGAGAGAAGAAAUGGUUUCCUCUGGUAUCAGCAGUAGCAAACGGUCAGUUGAAGUUGUCCGGUGAGAAGGAGUGAAGUGGGAAUUCUGAUUUGGCAACUUUUGGCACAGAGCUUUAUAUUCAGUUCAGGUAAAUUGCUGCUCCUGCUUUGUUACCUUGGAGGUGGUGUAGCUCAGUGAUAGAGCAUUUCCUUAGAAAAAGCUGUCAUAAGAUUCAGGUUCUAAUGUCUUGGCCCCACACCCAAAGGUAUGGCAAACCACUUCUAUAUCCUGGCCCAGAAACAGUGUGACUGUGACUGUGUAGUCAGCGAACCACUGAGUAUGGUCAAAGUUUCCUUUCAUUUUUAGCUCACCAGUAUAGUGAAAUCUGUUAAGUUCUUCUCAUAGAGUCUCCAUUUUUUAUGCCUCCUAAUACCAGCAGUGGAAACCCUGAUGCCUUUUGGGCUUCUCAUUAUCCCAGGCUGUUGAUGUUAUGGGUGAGUUUAAUUUCACAUCAGGGCAGCUUAACUGCCUAUCAUUAUGGGUCAGCAGGUGUGUUCUUCUGCUAACAUUAUCCCUGGACCAAAAUGAUUAAGGUGCUAUGAUAGCAGAAUCAUACUGGUAUUAUGAUCAGCUGUAUACUCAGCCUCAGCAUCCUAGCUGUUUAAGGCUUUUCAGGAAAGUGGAAUAAGGUGUUGGAUUGUCUAUGCCUCAUUCUAAAGUCUUGUUUAAAAGAUUUCAUAUUCAUAACAAAAUAUUAGUACAUGACCUAUUUGUAUUCACAGGAUGUUGUAGGGUAAUAGAAAAUAUUGCAUUGUAUAUACUUUGCCUUGUUAUACUAAUUUAGCACUUCAUAUAAAUAUUCAGUCUGCUUCAUAUCAUUCUGAAAAAUUUCCAGUAGCCUACCUACCUGCCUAUCCAUCCAUCCAACCAUCCAUCCAUCAGGACCAGAAUAAACAAAACAAAUUAAAACCA
This is a long non-coding RNA of Salvator merianae (Argentine black and white tegu), 1940 nucleotides long. NCBI's taxonomy places the organism in Eukaryota, Metazoa, Chordata, Lepidosauria, Squamata, Teiidae. The record is from Ensembl.